RNAcentral lists this ribosomal RNA (253 nucleotides) under uncultured prokaryote. Its description in RNAcentral is "partial 16S ribosomal RNA". It matches the Rfam family "Bacterial small subunit ribosomal RNA", at positions 524 to 776 of the family's 1533-position model. The record is from RNAcentral.
UACGGAGGGUGCAAGCGUUAAUCGGAAUUACUGGGCGUAAAGCGCGCGUAGGCGGCUUGGUAAGUCGAUUGUGAAAUCCCCGGGCUCAACCUGGGAAUUGCAGUCGAGACUGCUUGGCUAGAGUGUGGGAGAGGGUGGUGGAAUUCCCGGUGUAGCGGUGAAAUGCGUAGAUAUCGGAAGGAACACCAGUGGCGAAAGCGGCUUCCUGGUCCAGCACCGACGUUCAGGCACGAAAGCGUGGGGAGCAAACAGG